UACGAAGGGGGCGAGCGUUGUUCGGAUUUACUGGGCGUAAAGGGCGCGUAGGCGGCGGAUUAAGUCGAGUGUGAAAGCCCCGGGCUCAACCUGGGAGGUGCGCUCGAGACUGGUCUGCUUGAGUUCGGGAGAGGAGCGUGGAAUUCCCAGUGUAGAGGUGAAAUUCGUAGAUAUUGGGAAGAACACCGGUGGCGAAGGCGGCGCUCUGGACCGAGACUGACGCUGAGGCGCGAAAGCGUGGGGAGCAAACAGG
This 253-nucleotide ribosomal RNA is filed under the name uncultured bacterium. Its description in RNAcentral is "partial 16S ribosomal RNA". It matches the Rfam family "Bacterial small subunit ribosomal RNA", at positions 524 to 776 of the family's 1533-position model. The record is from RNAcentral.